AGCGAACGCUGGCGGCGUGCCUAACACAUACAAGUCGAACGUGAAAGCGAGCAAUCCCAGGUAAUGUGGCGUACGGGUGAGUAACACGUAGGUAAUCUACCCCAGACUCUGGAAUAACCGGCCGAAAGGCUGGCUAAUACUGGAUAGAGCGACGUACUACGUACUUGGGUUUUUAGGGGAAGGUAGCCUGUAAAAAGGCCGUCGGUCUGGGAUGCGCCUGAGUCCCAUCAGCUGGUUGGUGAGGUAAAAGCUUACCAAGGCCAAGACGGGUAGCUGGUCUUGGAGGAAGGACAGCCACACUUGGAACUGAGCACGGUCCAAGACUCUUCCGGGGGGAGCAGGGGGGAAUCAUGCGAAAAGGAGGAAAGGCUGGCGCCGGAACGCCCGGGGGGUGGAGAAGGGCCUCGGGUUGUAAAGCUCUGUCGAGUGGGACGAAAAAGCUGGGAGUUAACAGCUCCAGGAACUGACGGUACCACUAAAGGAAGCACCGGCUAACUCCGUG
Molecule: ribosomal RNA, 502 nt
Filed under: uncultured bacterium
Lineage: Bacteria
Description: partial 16S ribosomal RNA
Rfam family: Bacterial small subunit ribosomal RNA
Source: RNAcentral